UUUUAUGACAGAGUCAGGAGGGGGUGAAUGCUUUAACAAAAGCAAUUUAGAGCAAGGAUGGUUACUUCAUAAGUUGAAGAAGUUAUGAAAUAUGUCCUUUGUAAUCAUUGGUUCCCUGUUGUUUGUCUUUGUUCUCCAGUUCAUGAAUGACAUGAUCAUUAAAUGAUUGGUGUUAACAGUUGCAUCAUAAUUGGUUAUUUCAAAAGUUAGCAAGAUAUUUUUUUUGUUGAAUCAUUGCCUGGUUGCACACAUGCACAUAGCCAAAAACAUGGUACUUUUGAAAGUGUUCAUAAUUUUGGCAAUGUCAUGCAAAUGCUGAAUUGUAAAUUGGGUCACCAAAGACAAAGAAAAAUCUACUUAAAAUUUACAUUGAGUUAUGGCAGGCACUGUUAUUGCAUUCUGAUAUCAUGAUAUCAUGUGGAACUAAAAAGUUUAAAGUAGUAUUAAUUUAACAAAAAUUGUUAAGGUAAUAUAUAUUUACAUGUAGUAUUGUUAAACUAUGAUUAAUUUCAAUUGUAUUUCUAUUUCGAUGCAAUGUUUAAAUGUCGGUAUUAUGAGCAAUGAGAACGAAAAAUACCAAUGGCGUUAUUCUGUUUUGGAGACGGUACGCAGAUAUCGAUGUCAGUAUAUCACUAGUUAUCACCUUGUUCAUAUCGACUGCCUUUAAUGCUGGUACUAUAAAAAACAUAUAGACUGUUAAAUACCGAUAAUUUUUCUCACUUGAAAAAAAAAACAACAUACUACAUUUCUUUUUAGUGGUAAUGAUUUUAUUUCAUGGUGGAAAAAUGUUCAUACUUCGUUGAAAAGACGUCCUGAAGUCGUUUAUCAUCUUGUACAAACAUUCUUCUUUACCUUUAUGGCCGUAACUACGUUGAGAUUUAAGUUUUUAUGGAUGCCACAUAUUUGCAUUGUCGCCGCAGGAAUAAUUUGUUUGCAGGAUUUGUGGAGCUUUCUCUUGUCGAAAAUUUACCUGACAUGUGCAAAGAUAUGAGAUUAUAUUAUUUAAUAUGAAAUGACUUGUUUGUAAAUGUAGAUCGUUAUAUAUAUUAUUAAAAGAAUUCAAUGAAACGUCUGAAA
This is a long non-coding RNA of Xenia sp. Carnegie-2017, 1077 nucleotides long. RefSeq lists it as uncharacterized. The transcript is spliced from 3 exons. Lineage: Eukaryota; Metazoa; Cnidaria; Anthozoa; Malacalcyonacea; Xeniidae. The record is from RefSeq and is a predicted model, not a curated record.